RNAcentral lists this non-coding RNA (45 nucleotides) under Trichobilharzia regenti. Lineage: Eukaryota; Metazoa; Platyhelminthes; Trematoda; Strigeidida; Schistosomatidae. The record is from RNAcentral.
AUCCGGAUGACGAGUCGCACACAGGACGAAAUGCGCAUCCUGGAU